GGAUGCCUGGGCAGUCAGAGGCGAUGAAGGACGUACUAACUUGCGAUAAGCGCAGAUAAGGCAGUAAGAGCCGUUUGAGUCUGCGAUUUCCGAAUGGGGAAACCCAACUGCAUAAGCAGUUACUGUUAACUGAAUACAUAGGUUAACAGAGCAAACCGGGGGAACUGAAACAUCUAAGUACCCCGAGGAGAAGAAAUCAACCGAGAUUCCGGUAGUAGCGGCGAGCGAACCUGGAUUAGCCCUUAAGCACUCGGUGAAGUAGGUGAACAAGCUGGAAAGCUUGGCGAUACAGGGUGAUAGCCCCGUAACCGACGCUUCAUCGAGCGUGAAAUCGAGUAGGGCGGGACACGUGAUAUCCUGUCUGAAUAUGGGGGGACCAUCCUCCAAGGCUAAAUACUCCUGACUGACCGAUAGUGAACCAGUACCGUGAGGGAAAGGCGAAAAGAACCCCUGUGAGGGGAGUGAAAUAGAACCUGAAACCGUGUACGUACAAGCAGUAGGAGCACCUUCGUGGUGUGACUGCGUACCUUUUGUAUAAUGGGUCAGCGACUUAUAUUCAGUGGCAAGGUUAACCGUAUAGGGGAGCCGUAGCGAAAGCGAGUCUUAACUGGGCGCUCAGUCUCUGGAUAUAGACCCGAAACCGGGUGAUCUAGCCAUGGGCAGGUUGAAGGUUGAGUAACAUCAACUGGAGGACCGAACCGACUAAUGUUGAAAAAUUAGCGGAUGACUUGUGGCUAGGGGUGAAAGGCCAAUCAAACUCGGAGAUAGCUGGUUCUCCCCGAAAGCUAUUUAGGUAGCGCCUCGGACGAAUACUACUGGGGGUAGAGCACUGUUAAGGCUAGGGGGUCAUCCCGACUUACCAACCCUUUGCAAACUCCGAAUACCAGUAAGUACUAUCCGGGAGACACACGGCGGGUGCUAACGUCCGUCGUGGAGAGGGAAACAACCCAGACCGCCAGCUAAGGUCCCAAAGUAUUGCUAAGUGGGAAACGAUGUGGGAAGGCUCAGACAGCUAGGAUGUUGGCUUAGAAGCAGCCAUCAUUUAAAGAAAGCGUAAUAGCUCACUAGUCGAGUCGGCCUGCGCGGAAGAUGUAACGGGGCUAAGCA
RNAcentral lists this ribosomal RNA (1107 nucleotides) under Vibrio cholerae. Its description in RNAcentral is "partial 23S ribosomal RNA". It matches the Rfam family "Bacterial large subunit ribosomal RNA", at positions 26 to 1188 of the family's 2925-position model. The record is from RNAcentral. Lineage: Bacteria; Pseudomonadati; Pseudomonadota; Gammaproteobacteria; Vibrionales; Vibrionaceae.